This 376-nucleotide ribosomal RNA is filed under the name uncultured bacterium. RNAcentral describes it as "bacterial SSU rRNA". It matches the Rfam family "Bacterial small subunit ribosomal RNA", at positions 521 to 896 of the family's 1533-position model. The record is from RNAcentral.
UAAUACGAAGGGGGCUAGCGUUGUUCGGAAUUACUGGGCGUAAAGCGCGCGUAGGCGGUUUUGCAAGCCAGAGGUGAAAUGCCUGAGCUCAACUUAGGAAUUGCCUUUGGGACUGCGAGGCUUUGAGGACUGGAGAGGUGAGUGGAAUUCCCAGUGUAGAGGUGAAAUUCGUAGAUAUUGGGAAGAACACCAGUGGCGAAGGCGGCUCACUGGCCAGUUUCUGACGCUGCAGCGCGAAAGCGUGGGGAUCAAACAGGAUUAGAUACCCUGGUAGUCCACGCUGUAAACGAUGAGUGCUAGGCGUCGGCACGCUUGCGUGUCGGUGCCGCAGCUAACGCGUGAAGCACUCCGCCUGGGGAGUACGGUCGCAAGAUUA